This is a long non-coding RNA of Haliaeetus leucocephalus (bald eagle), 849 nucleotides long. RefSeq lists it as uncharacterized. The record is from RefSeq and is a predicted model, not a curated record. NCBI's taxonomy places the organism in Eukaryota, Metazoa, Chordata, Aves, Accipitriformes, Accipitridae. The transcript is spliced from 2 exons.
GUGCUGGCACUCCGUGCCCUGGAGUGUUCCAUUUUAGGAGUUUGUGCAGGAGGGAGUAAAUGUUUUGGGAAGUCCAUCAGCACUGUGAAUCACAAACUCUGCCUUGAGUUGUGGGGGGCUGGGGGGUUGGUGCAUCUCUUGGAAUCACCGCGGCAUGAUUCAAUGAGAAAAAUUGCGUAGAGAACAACUGUGCCAAAGGUGCUAAGCUGCGCUGAGACCUCACUUCUCUUUUGAGGCUGGGAAGUCUGGCUCCUUGACCUAAAUUCCUCAGGAACAUCAGAGCUAUAACAUGUUUGAAUGCCAUGAUAGCAAUUUUUUGUAUACCAAACACGUAUGCAAUGCUAAGAAAUUGUUCCCCUGAAAGAGGCUGUUAAGCGCCAAGAUCUGUCUCACCCCGAAAGCCACUGUGCAGAGGAAGAACUAGCUGCAGCAGGAGAAAACUCACACCGAAGAGAAUAAUUUGGCUAUUAAGGGUUGAACAGGAUCAAGGGCUGGUGUCAGAAAGGACUUAAGAUGUCCCUCUGAGAAAACAGGUCUCACAAGGAAUCCCAGUGAGGCAUUAAACAGCUUCUAACACUGCAGAGCAGAUCUGUGCCUCCUCCUGCCUGUUCUAAGAGGUUUUCUCCUUUCAUGCUUGCAGCGGCUGUUCGUCACACAUUACACCUUGCGCAAACAGGUGUUUCUCCAGACUGCUUAGCCAGAGCUGAGAUGGAGGAAGAAGCAGAGGAGAAAAUGGAGGGAAAAGGGCCUCCUGGCAGACUGUUUCCAGGAAGGCAGCACAAAGAACCUCCUUUUGAGAGCCCUGAAUUGCCAUUGCCUACUUCUGAAGAACACAGGCAGACAGGACAG